UACCCGCAGCAUAAGUGGUGGUCAUUAUUAUUGGGCCUAAAGCGUCCGUAGCUGGCUUGUUAGAUGCCUGGGUAAAUCGAUGCGCUCAACGCAUCGAAUUCCGGGUAGACCGGCAAGCUCGAGACCGGGAGAGGCGUGAGCUACUCGGGGGGUAGGGGUAAAAUCCUGUAAUCCUCCGGGGAGGACCAGUGGCGAAGGCGUCACGCUAGAACGGCUCUGACAGUGAGGGACGAAGCCCUGGGGCGCAAACCGG
RNAcentral lists this ribosomal RNA (253 nucleotides) under uncultured bacterium. RNAcentral's name for it is "partial 16S ribosomal RNA". It matches the Rfam family "Archaeal small subunit ribosomal RNA", at positions 474 to 727 of the family's 1478-position model. The record is from RNAcentral.